UGUCGUUUUCGUUUAAUACCAGUGUAAAACAGAACAAGCAUGAUACAAGUUUUGAAAAGGAGACUAAUUAACUGUUUAAGGUUUCAAAGGAAAACAAAACGAUCACUUUUUUUGGACGUAACGAAAAUGAAAUUGCAAAAAUGUGGCGAAAAAUAAUAAUGCGAAAUUUGGUGUCGAAACUUUCCAUGCUCUCCAUGCUGUUUUUGGCGGGUAAAUACUCGGAAUGAAUAUGGGAUGACUAUGGGAGCUGAAUUAGAAGAGUUCAACUUGUUCCAAGUAUGAGACCUGAGCCAGCCAUCGUAACAGCAAAGUUUUGCUUGUGCUGGACCGCCAGUCACAUAUGAUUUGACUGAUGAUGACCUCCUGCCAUCAGCAACUAUCACAGUGUCAUUGCUUAGAUAAACAGCAUCCCGUUCCAUUGGAAAAACUACCCAGCUGUCGACCGAGUUCAGGAUCUCUCCUUUUCCCUUUUCUUUAAAUGUCCUCGUGUAUGCCCAUGUGAAUGUGGGUGUAUUCACGAGGACUCCCUUUUUACACUAUCCCUUCUGUUGGAUUCAACUUUCCUGUGGACGAGAGCGACUGUAGAUGCUUGGCCGUAUUUCCCAGGCUUAAAGGUAGGACAAGUUCAUUUCUAUCCUUCCUUUCUGGCAAUUGAGUGGCGUUGAUUUUACAUAGUUAUGGAGUACGAUUAUUCCUGGGCCAUUGGCUGAAACUGUUUCAUCUUGCUGUUUUUUGUUUUUCUCAGUCAUCUAACUAGCUCACGUGUAGAACAACUGCAGAUCAGGCCUGUUUUUGUAAAACUUUGUCUGUGGCUAAACCAUCAAAUUCAGAAAUAGUUGAACUUGAAUCAAAGUGCAACUUGAACAAUUUGCCACCACACCGGCACUUCCUGGUUGGGGUGGAUCAGACCGUCAGCAGGUUAAUCUGAAAUCUGUUUUUCCAUUUUAUUAUUUAUUAUUUUUUUUUGCCUGGAUCAAUCAACCCCUACAAGGAAGAGAAGCCAACUCAAUAGUGACUCUACCAGUUGGAAUAGUUGUUGUAUGCCAAGACGAUGUUGUCGGUAAGAAAUCCAAACAUUUCCAGAUUUCGCACGCAACUUGGAAAAGGAGGAUCUAAUGGGGAAUGAGGUCCUCUCUACAUGACACACAUUGUAGAGAGCUUAUUCGAUUCAGUAGGGAAAGAAGUAACGGCAGAUGAGUGAAAGUUGACGAGCAACUCGAUGGGAGAUUUCAAUGGGCCAUACGAAUAAUUGAUUUCUGGUUUUUUUGGUUCUUCUCUCUCUAGAGAUAAUGUGAGCCCUUAUAUUCAUCUUUUCCCUUUUUCUCCUAAAAUCAAUGCGGCCUGAUUUUGUUUCAUUGAUUUAUUCUUCUUCUGGUUGUUUGUCGAGAUCGCCCCGUACCAGAUAGUCGAUUCAAUCAGGUCUAGAAACAAAAACAAAACAAAAAUGUAAUGAGAAAACCUGUCUUUUAGCGUGUGCCCCGGAGAAAAUGGCCAAGUUGCGUCAAGCAUUUCUUCGUUGUUACCAACGGCCAAUGCUCACGUGAACUUUGGUUGACAACAAUCAGAUUCAAAUCUUUUUCGUCCUUAUUAUAAUACCGAUGGCCCAUAUACCGUUUGUUUUUUCAGGAAUAACUUUUCGCAACUCCUUUUUUUGUUUUUAAUUGGAUAAAUCUGACCACUUUCCAUUGUUUGAUUUUGCGAAUGUUGCAAAAAGACAAAAGAAUUUAAGGGCGUGAAUCAUACGCCACACAUGGCUAUAGACUUCGCCAGUGCCCAUCGGACAUGUAAAAGAUUGCCAAUGACCAAAUUGACAAAGACGUUGAUUGCCAUCGACGGUUUUGCCGAUGGUUGAAAUUGAUUGGCAUUUUUCGAGUGCCGUUUUCACUUUUUCUUUCUCCCCGAUUGUUUUUUGUUCUCCACCGUCGUCGUCGUCGUCGGUUUGGCAAGAAUCCAAAAGGAAAUGAGUUCUCGUGUCCAGCGUGAGAGAGUUGAGACACACUGCUGCUGGUGCUGGCAGAGAUAUGACAAAAACAAAAGCAGCAAAGACAAAACAAAUGGGGUAGACCAAAAAACAUUCCGCCCAAUCACAGUCGAGUUGCCAUCAAGUGAAACUGCUGACCCAGUUUCAGUUUCAAGUUGCUGCUGGCCGCCAGCUCCUAGCGGUAUUUGGCCAAGCCUGUUUUUAUUUUAUCUUUUGAUUCGUGUAGAUUUUUGUGUGUUGAUUUAUUCGGCGCUGUUGCAUCGUAUCAGGCGCCCGCAUCACCACCAACUCUUGCUCUCAUUUCAAUGUUAACAUUGACGCCAUGCGAAGAAAUGUAGAAACAGAUGGCCAUUGGCUUUGAAAUUCAGAAGAAAAUAACUCUGCGGAUAGGCGCAACAGCUCGGCGGUUGGGUGCGCUUUCGUUUAUUCCUGGACAUCAACGAGCGAACACCAAAUGUUGUUGGUUAUUAUUAAUUUUUUUCCUACCGACAGACUCGACCACGGCCACCCGUGACAGUGAAAACGGGCGUCGAGGAAAUUUUUGUUUAAAUCCAACCGCCGUUUUCUCGUUCAUUCAUUCCCGCGCUGGGGCCUGGGAAAAUGUUUCUGGUUGGCUUUUUUGCCAUUGUUUUCAUUUUCUUUUCUCUUUCCACUCGGAAAAUAUUUUUUUCGGUUGUUUUCUUUUCUUUUUCCCCCCAUUUUUAUACGACGCAUAUUUUUUCGCUGAGACUUUUCAUAGGAAAUGUCAAGGACGCAUUGCGCACGCUCAUUUCCUCCGAAACUUUCCAUUUCAGAGCCGCUAGAUUUUUUUCGUUUUUUUUUUAUCGUGUCGCUUUUUUUUUUGUUGUUAUUUUGGCGUGAGCGUGAUUCGUCUAUUGCCGCUUCGUUCCUUUUUUUCCUGAUCUUUUCCGUACUGUUUUUUUUUCUGUUAGUUGUGUGUCGGCGUUACCCAUGAACUGCGCAGCGACGUGAAAUCUUUUUUUUUUCUUCUCUACCGUUAUUUUUAUUGUCUAGCCACAACAGCAGAGAGUGUGUCACGACCGCACAAUUGCUCAGGAAGUGUUACACGCAAUGGGUAUAUGUUUCGAUUCCCCCCUCCAUUUCUUCUUCUUCCCCGCAGCACCAGAGUUAUUAUACAACACGGAUUCAUUUUCUGCGUCUAUUUGGCCAAUUAGAAUCUCUCUCUUUCAAAUCUCAUCGCCAAGGCCGAAUUUGUGUAUUAAUUAAACGAUAAUCGGCCAACCGAUAAUUGAUUGAACGCCGCCCAACUGAAAAAAUUUUCAAAAUUCCCAAAAUUUUAAAAGUUAACGUCUUGAUCCAUCGCCAUGACAGCUUGUUCACACCACCAUUUGCGUAGGCCUAUACAUCCUCCACUACAGCAUAAUAACAAUCAAUCUAAUGGGGAAUACACAAGAGGAGAUUUCUAGGAAGCGCUUGGACCGAUGGCCAAAAUGCGGAGGGGAAUUUCUUUUCACGCCUACACACACGCAGACACUUGUAGAGAGUGCGUGAAUCGAAAUAAGAGAAACGCUUGUGUGUGUGUGUCUACGACAACAAAGAGGCUCGUUUAUUCGGAGAAACCCCAUUUGGCACUGUGUGCUAUGGGUCUUAUUCCCUUUAGACUUACGGACGAGUGAGAGCUCUUUAACCGACACUUUAACUGAAGGGAAAUUCAUUUUUUUCUUUUACUUCACGCCAAGAUUUACGACACUAGGACACUCCCCCAUAGUCUGUUGUAUUCAAUUCUAUUGUUGCGGUUGUGUUGGAUGGUUUGUUUGCUCUUGCUCUUGCUCAAUCAUUUAGUACUCUAACGACUUUAGAGCACGGAACGUUAGCGUCCACUUAACCGUACACACUCUAGAACACCGUGUACCCAAAGGGAGUUGAUAUUGACACAGACAAAUUGUUUCAAUCACAACCAGGAAGACGUUUUAACGGGAAAAACGUCACCUGCGUGAACCCCCCCAAAAAGAAAAAAUAUUUCAAGUCUUUAUUUUUCUGGCAGGCCAAGUGACUAAUGACUUCAUCUCAGCAGAAUGCCGCAAUGUCUCUAUCAGCGUGAGUCUUGUUUUUUUGGCGAUAGAAAUAAAUGACCGUGCUGCUGGCCGUGUGGAAAAACUGAGAAUUUCGACCCAAAAAGUACAUAGCCAAAGCGGCAUUUAACAGGCUAGCGACAACUUUCUUUGAAGCGCAGAAUAACACGGUGGCGCUUUACCUUAUUGUUUGACUGGCGAUUGUCUUUUUUUUUUCCUCUCUAGACAUGUUUGUCCUAGCUGCUGCUGUUGGUGUAAAAGGUUAUAUGGCGUUCAGGGUCUCGUGUGUGUCUAUCUUUGGGCUACUGUCAGAGAGACGCGGCCGACAGCAACGGAAAAGUCUACAUUGGAGAUUUUAUUUUUUUUUUUAGACUUGUUGUCCAUUAACCAAUUUAGAAGUCGGAUAGAAUUGCCCACCCCGUCCAAAAAAAAGGAGAAGCCAAGAAAAGAAAAGAAAAACAAGCAAAUAAAAGAGACAGAAGAAAAAGAGAUGGGCCCGCUUCGGAGAAUCCGAUUUCUAAUUUUGUGAUACAACAACAUAACAGCCCGUGUACGGCGGAUGAACAGGGAACAGGUUUUGCCAGCAUCGCAUCGACUCGUCAAACUGUUUGAGACUGUGCUGCGUGCAUACAUAUAGACGAGAGAUUGGAAUACAUCUUUUGGCUUUUUGGGCUUCAACAGUUGCCAACCAACAAAACACAAAUGCAAUCUGGCUAAACGUAUAUAUAUACAGUCCGUUAUUAUAUUCUCAUAUUCAUGGCUGGCCGACCGAUUUGCAUAAAAUAACAGCAUAUUCGGCGCUAUUUUUUUUUCCUUCUUUUUUUUGGCCGUUUAGACAUUUGUACAGUUUUCGUAUAGUACGAUGAUGAGCCUACGGACAAGGUCGACGUAAUCCGCCUCCGGUCUAGCGCGGGUCCGUCUCUUGAUUAUUAUUUGAAUUUCUUUUUAAAAAAGGCGGAAAAAGAGUCAAGGUAAUAGUGCGUCUUUAUAUCGACUGAUGCUGCUAGUGCUGUAGU
Daphnia pulex (common water flea) is the source of this 5030-nucleotide long non-coding RNA. RefSeq lists it as uncharacterized. The transcript is spliced from 3 exons. The record is from RefSeq and is a predicted model, not a curated record. Lineage: Eukaryota; Metazoa; Arthropoda; Branchiopoda; Diplostraca; Daphniidae.